This 360-nucleotide ribosomal RNA is filed under the name Bryobacteraceae bacterium. Its description in RNAcentral is "bacterial SSU rRNA". It matches the Rfam family "Bacterial small subunit ribosomal RNA", at positions 8 to 381 of the family's 1533-position model. Lineage: Bacteria; Pseudomonadati; Acidobacteriota; Terriglobia; Bryobacterales; Bryobacteraceae. The record is from RNAcentral.
GAGAGUUUGAUCCCGGCUCAGAAUCAACGCUGGCGGCGCGCCUAACACAUGCAAGUCGAACGGGAAAGGGGAGCAAUCCCUGAGUACAGUGGCGUACGGGUGAGUAACACGUGGGUGAUCUACCUUCGGGUGGGGGAUAACCCUGGGAAACCGGGGCUAAUACCGCAUAAGAUCGAGAGAUGAAAGCCGCAAGGCGCCGGAAGAGGAGCCCGCGGCCGAUUAGCUAGUUGGUGGGGUAACGGCUCACCAAGGCGAAGAUCGGUAGCCGGCCUGAGAGGGCACACGGCCACACUGGCACUGAAACACGGGCCAGACUCCUACGGGAGGCAGCAGUGGGGAAUCUUGCACAAUGGGGGAAAC